Molecule: ribosomal RNA, 497 nt
Filed under: uncultured bacterium
Lineage: Bacteria
Description: partial 16S ribosomal RNA
Rfam family: Bacterial small subunit ribosomal RNA
Source: RNAcentral
ACUCAAAUGAAUUGACGGGGGCCCGCACAAGCGGUGGAGCAUGUGGUUUAAUUCGACGCAACGCGAAGAACCUUACCCGGGCUUGAACAGCAAGUGAUCGACCAUGAAAGUGGUUUUCCGCAAGGACACUUGCAGAGGUGCUGCAUGGCUGUCGUCAGCUCGUGUCGUGAGAUGUUGGGUUAAGUCCCGCAACGAGCGCAACCCUUGUCCGCUGUUGCCAUCAGGUUAAGCUGGGCACUCUGCGGAGACUGCCGGUGACAAACCGGAGGAAGGUGGGGAUGACGUCAAGUCAGCAUGGCCUUUAUGUCCGGGGCUACACACGUGCUACAAUGGCCGAUACAAACCGCCGCAAACUCGCAAGAGUGAGCUAAUCGGAGAAAGUCGGUCUCAGUUCGGAUUGUAGGCUGCAACUCGCCUGCAUGAAGUCGGAAUCGCUAGUAAUCGCGGAUCAGCACGCCGCGGUGAAUACGUUCCCGGGCCUUGUACACACCGCCCGU